Molecule: long non-coding RNA, 908 nt
Organism: Brassica napus (rape)
Lineage: Eukaryota; Viridiplantae; Streptophyta; Magnoliopsida; Brassicales; Brassicaceae
Exons: 4
Source: RefSeq, a predicted model, not a curated record
GAGUCAUACGAUCUUGCGUUAUGUGCUUUUGUGGUGUCUGCAAAGGAAUUCAGGUUUGCGAUUGGACCUAACUUUUUGCAUUUAACUGUAAAUAGAAACAAAAAAAUUUAUCAUUUACCUUACUACUCUCACCUAACUUUUUCAAGUAGGUUAAACAACUUUUACCUUAAGUAACAUGAAGGUGAUUUGCCAACAUGAAGACUGCAGACGGCAAGGUUUCCAAGAGUUUAUGGGUCUUUAGCAUCUUACAAUGACCACAAACUAAUUUAACACUUGCACAUAUACAGAAGAAGCUAAGAACGCAGUGCAGUGUGAGAAAUCAAGAAACAUUGAUCUAGAAGGAUUUCGAUAAUUUUGUUGAAAACUGUAAGUACUAUGGAUGCUACAGUUAAAUUGAACUGCAUAAGCAAGGGUUUCAACUCUCAAGACACUCAAUUGGAAAGGACUUAGCUGGCAGCAUAUUUGCAUGUGCUUUAAUGAUCUUUACACGUUCGGCAUCGAAAAGCUUUCUCUGUCACUGAAACACUGUGUAAAAUUACAAGAUCUUCACUGAAUGCGAGGCAUGGAAGACUUUUAAUGAUGGCUCUACUUUGCUGAAAUAGGAAUGAGCUUCCAAUGAAUAAAGGUCGGAUUAUGUGUUGGUCACAGCAGAGCAUGGCCAAUAACAAAUAUGAAGUGAAGGAUGACCAGUAACAAAUAUAAAAGGCCUAAUGAACACAUUCUUGAUUUUAUAAAAUAGAAUUACAAUUUUGAAGUGGAUAAUGAAGGAAGUAAUAAACCUUUUGAAAAUAGAAUUACCUGUAUUUUUUCCUGGGAUAAAAUCCUAUUAUGUCCUAAGCCAAAAAUAUUAUUUUUUACAGACCAUGUGAUGCAUGUGGCAGCUUUUACAAUUGUAAACUUAUCUUUGA